UACGUAAGGACCGAGCGUUGUCCGGAAUCAUUGGGCGUAAAGGGUACGUAGGCGGUUAUAAAAGUUAGAAGUGAAAGGCUAUAGCUCAACUUUGGUAAGCUUUUAAAACUGUUUAACUUGAGAGAUGUAGGGGAAAGUGGAAUUCCUAGUGGAGCGGUGAAAUGCGCAGAGAUUAGGAGGAAUACCGGUGGCGAAGGCGA
RNAcentral lists this ribosomal RNA (200 nucleotides) under uncultured bacterium. RNAcentral describes it as "partial 16S ribosomal RNA". It matches the Rfam family "Bacterial small subunit ribosomal RNA", at positions 524 to 724 of the family's 1533-position model. The record is from RNAcentral.